GAUAACGUGUUGGGAAACCAUGCAGUUCAGCACGAACACCCCUCUUGGCUUAAACCAAUCAGUUCAAAUGAAUCCCCCUCUUGUAGUAACCAAUCACCCCUACCCAACUUGUUCCCGCCAGUGAAUGUGCUAAUCAUGUUUUAGAGUUGUUAUUUAAUUUUCCCAUGGUGUGUGAUGAUUUGCUAAGAGAUGCUAUGAUGUGUGGGGGGGUUCCUGCCUUCUCCAAAGAAUGUAUAAAAUUGCUGC
RNAcentral lists this long non-coding RNA (246 nucleotides) under Marmota monax (woodchuck). Lineage: Eukaryota; Metazoa; Chordata; Mammalia; Rodentia; Sciuridae. The record is from RNAcentral.